This 467-nucleotide long non-coding RNA is filed under the name Populus tremula. RNAcentral's name for it is "long non-coding RNA (PTRE_LNC002085)". Lineage: Eukaryota; Viridiplantae; Streptophyta; Magnoliopsida; Malpighiales; Salicaceae. The record is from RNAcentral.
UGGUGAUGCUAGUGUAGGAGGAGGAGGAGGUGGUGGUGGUGGAGGUGGUGGAGAUGCAAGUGGUGGGUUUGGUCAUGGUAAAGGUUAUGGUUUCGGAGCUGGUGUUGGUGAAAAUGGUGGUGUUGGUGGUGGAGGAGGAGGAGGUGGUGGAGGCGGAGGUGGUGGAAGUCAUGGAGAUGAAGGAGGUGGACAUGGAGAAGGGCAUGGGGCUGGAGCAGGUGGUGGCGAUGCUAGUGUAGGAGGAGGAGGUGGUGGUGGAGGUGGUGGAGAUGCAAAUGGUGGGUUUGGUCGUGGUAAAGGUUAUGGAUUUGGGGCUGGUGUUGGUAAAAAUGGUGGUGCCGGUGGAGGAGGAGGAGAGGGUGGCGGUGAAGGACAAGGGGCCAGUGGAGGAUUUGGUCAUGGAAGUAGAUACGGUGCUGGAGAGGGUAUUGGAGGUGGAGGUAAUGCAAGUGGUGAUGUUGGUGGUG